Acanthopagrus latus (yellowfin seabream) is the source of this 951-nucleotide long non-coding RNA. RefSeq lists it as uncharacterized. The transcript is spliced from 3 exons. Lineage: Eukaryota; Metazoa; Chordata; Actinopteri; Spariformes; Sparidae. The record is from RefSeq and is a predicted model, not a curated record.
UUGAGGUCCUUGGACAGCAGGAAGUGUUUGGGCCUGAGAUGUUUGAUGCUGUUCCUGGACAGAUCCAUCUUCACGAUGUCAGACGGCAGGUCAGUUGGGAUGUAAUUCAAAUCUGCAAAGAAGGACGGGACGAACAAACAGGUGCACUGGGUGGAGGGUGGGCAGAGUUUUUUUUCCCCUCACUGGAGUUGCCGAUGCACCUGCCGCAGAUUGGCAAUCAGGGCCUGCUGACCAGCCCUGCUCUCCACGCGACCUGCUGCCAGAUGAUUUUUGCCAGUCAGAUGUGGUUUCCCCCCCCGGUGAUCCCACUCUCCUGCUGUCUCUGUUUCCAGCAACCCAGCAGCUUACUACCUUCACCUGCAAUAACCGUGUUCAGUCCAAUAAAUAACCCUGCUCUCCUGAUCCUGCCUCGUGUCCGUUUAUGGGUCCAACCACCGACCACUGAGUGUAACAGUUUUUUAAUUCUAUUGUUACUCUUUUCAAGGUGACGUUACUUUCUUUCAAGCCAACCUUGUGUCAGCAGAGCUUCUGUGCUUUUAAGCCGUGCUCCUGAUUCAAGGUUUGGGGGCUGCGGGCUCAGGUAAGCUCGGUUCUUUAUAACGGCUCUAGAUUUGAAUCAUUUUCAAAUCUUCAGCCUUGAGCCGGAGAACAGAAAUCUCCUCGUCAGACUUUGCGCAGCUCUCUCCAGAGCCACGAAAAGCUUUGUACAUUGAUAUGUUUUACAUCUGGAAAUCAGGAGCACGCCCUUUAACCUGUAAGCAGACUUUAAAAUGUAUAAUCAGUGUUGUCUACCUUAAGUCGCUGUAUAAGAAGUUUGUUUAAAGUUUUACAAACAAGUAAAAACUCUACAGUCUUAUUUUUUUCCAAUCUUAAUGAACACAUCUGAUCCACACUGUGUCUUGGGACUGAUGUAAUUGUGCUUCUUUUUCCGAUGUCACCAUGACAAUUGCA